Long non-coding RNA from Mustela lutreola (European mink), 3314 nucleotides. RefSeq lists it as uncharacterized. The record is from RefSeq and is a predicted model, not a curated record. Lineage: Eukaryota; Metazoa; Chordata; Mammalia; Carnivora; Mustelidae. The transcript is spliced from 4 exons.
UUUAAUUCUGUAGCUUCGAUGACCUGCACCAUCAGACGCCCGAUGCCUGAAGUCUUUUGCGAGCGAGCUACAAAAGAGGAGGAAAGCCCGGUUAAGUUCUCCGAGCCUGCAGGCACUGUGGUUGUAACAGACCCCAAUAUGCAGUAUUUCAGAAACCUAAAAACAGGAAGACAUGUAGAAAAGGAAGCAGCAGAUGUGACUCUCAUUUCUGUCACCACUUUAACAUGUGUGGGAAGAGUGUGUGUUGCCCAACACGGGCGAAGAUGCGUUCGCGUUCGCACACCGGGCUGGGCUGCGGUACCCGCCGGGCAUCUCGCUGCUGGAUCUCUGGGAGGCUGUCGCUGACCCCUUACGCUACCCACGGCGGUCUCUGACGGCCCUUCUAGCGUGACUGCGCACCAAGGCUUUGUUUUUAAUUUACGACCAUGGCACCACGGAGCUAAAUGUGUUCUCUCAUUGGCUUCUGGACUUUUUGGGGACAUGGGGGCACACGUGGAGCACAUGGACAGAGUCACACGUGAGUGUUUAAGCAGCGUCCUAAGUCCAGUGUCGCCCUUCUCCUCUCGUUUCCUUUGGUCCCACUGUAUGCAUCCACUGACAUUUUAUCUUGCUGCUUUUGAUAUAUUUGAGUAAACUAUUUUAUGCUUUUUUGGGAAUAAGGUGGGUAUAGUUCACAAAUUUAAUAUAAAUUUAAUAAAGUGACAUUCUGGAUAUUUUGGGGGUAUAAAGUAGCUGAUUUAAUAGGCUUAAAUAACACUCUGCUAAUAGAUGGCAACAACAUGGUCCCAGUGGCAAGAAAAGUCAAUUCUACAUGGACGGUAACACCAACACUCAAAACAUUUUUUGCCAUAUUGGUGUUUCCUCUGGAAAGUUGGGGGGGUGCCCUUCCCCAGGCCGAGCCCCCUGACGGUGCAGCCUGCCUCCAGGCUCAGAACGAGGUGGCCUGCCCACGAUCCCAGAAUGGAGUUACCUUUAAAAAUUCCUUGAACUCCGUGUCUUCGUCCGUCUUCUGCUGUAACAGAGCUGCUCCGUUCAGCUGACAGCUACAGAACCGGAUGUAAGCCUGCAUGUGGGACAGCUCAGCGGCCAGGAUGUCCCCGAUCGUCUGCACCGGCAUCUUCUCUCCUCCCGUCUUCUUCCGGACCCGCAAGGCCCUGCAACCAACACACUCCCAUGUGGGCUCCAUGCCCAACUUGGGACUUGCGCUCACAACCCUGAGAUCAGGAAUCACAUGUUCCACUGAUCGAGCCAGCCAGGUGCCCCUUAUUAGGCCUAAUUCUGAGGAGGACUGAGGCCAGUACUCUCAUCAAUAAGAGGAGCUUCUCCUACCUACCUCCUAGGGAGAUGAAGCAGGUUCAAUGAAACCAUGUGCAUAAAGUACCCGCACCCCGUGAAAGCUGCAGAAUUGAGGGGCUGGGCAUCCCAAAGUCCCAGAAGCGGUCUGUGAGAGGGUCAGCAACAGAAAAAGUGGUGAUUUACAUGGCCCCCACGCAGAUGCGGACUUCAGAGGCUGGCUGGCUGAGCGGAAAUGUGACCCUCUAUCUAUUUUCCACGACACCGGAGGAUUUACGAAGCUGAUGGACAGAGUGAGUUGGAGAAGGUUCGGAGCAAGAAAAUUCUAGGAAGACUCUGCACGGAGCAUGGAGCCUGAAGUGGGGAUUGAUCUCAAGGUCCCAAGAUCAUGACCUGAGCUGAAAUCCAGAUCCGGUCCCUUAGCUGACAGAGCCACCCAGGCGCCCCUCAGCUGUUGCUUUUCCCGGGGCACUCAUGAGGAAAGAAAGGCUGAGAGAGGGAUCUGCUCAAGGUCACAAACCUAGACCACGAAGGAGCCAGAACAAAAACACGUCUUUUUGAUUCUGAGCUGGUUUCCACUGAACAACUGGGAUUCCCAGCAAGUGACUGGUCUAAAGUCUUCGGAAACCGUGAAGUUACCCGAGACAACCUUCUCGUGUGUGAUCUUUCCAAGAUACGACAUGUCAGCCUCCUAAAGGCGCUCGUCGGCCCUGGGAUAAGGCGCAGACUCCUUCUGAAGGCUCACCACGCCGGCGCGGCCUGCCCCUGCCAGCUUCACCCGCCUGGCCCCCCGAGGCCUGGACACACCACGUGGGACCACCCGCAGGACCCUAGCUCCCGGGCACAGCCUUCCCACUCCUUCUUCCUCUUCCAGGCACACUUGUCCUUGUCCUUCGGGUCUGUCCUGACUCUCCUCUGUGGCAGGGGUGGUCAGCCCUCUCCUGGCUCCCACCUCUCUGUUCUGCCGCCGUCUGUCUGUCUGUCCUCGUGACUGUGAACUCUCGAGGGCGGGAACGUUCUCCUUCCCCUCUGCUCUCCAGCACAGAGCUUUCUGCCCGCGGCAGGUCUUCGGUGAGUGUCGAUUUACUGAGUUGUGCUGAGCACGGGCUCGAAGGAUUCAGGUAACAGUGCUAUGAAGCGGACGUCUCUGAACCUUCGUCGUUCCAAGACUGGAGCGAGGAUGUCAGGAUCCUCGGACCGGAGCGCGCCCUGGCAAGGUGGUGGGUCUGCUCCGAGGUGCCGGAAGGCCGGGAAGGCACCUGCUGGUCUGUUCUCUCACCCGCUGAUGAACAUUCAUCCCAUUCACCUGCCUCCGAGAGGGAAGCAGAGGACGGUCGGACCCUCUGAGAGCCUCCGUGGGGAUGGCGAUGAGCCCGCCUGGCCUGCGAACCGCGCUCUCACUCUAUGUCCCUGCCCCCGACGUGAGCCCCUGCUCCUCAGCCCGGGCAGGCGGGCAGAGUGGGAAUAACCCACGGGGAAGUGACGGGUCUGAGUGGGGGAGGCGUGCGGCCCCGUGCACGCUCCACGCCGGUGUCCGACAGGUGCUUCCCCGGCCAUUGGCAACCUCCCAGCACUGCGACCUGCCAGCGGCAGGGGGAUGCUCGGAGGGGUCAAUGACAAGAUGGGCUGUUCUUCUCGCCAUCCUUCCAGGUCAGAGAAGUGUAGACGUAAACACACAUAAUUCAUUCAGGGCCGACCGGAAGGCCUGUAAAGGGCCAGACUGAGUGUUGGGGACACAGGAUGAAGGAUACAUGUCCCUGAUGUCAGGGGCUCACAGCCUCGCGGGCAAGAGAGACGUUACCCACUAGCAGCGUGGCAGAGUGUACUUGUGAGCAGAACAAGUGUGCGGGUCGCAAGCCCCAGCUUGCACGCGGGCUGGAGGAUGGUGCGAGGGCGGGCCUUUCUGGGGGCCGAUGGAGAAGGGUGCAGCUUCCCCGCCACACCUCCAGCGAGGUCACGGCCAGGCACCUGCUGGGCCCGCUGGGGACAUGUGUUCUCUUCGACGGCUUGUUUAUUUAACU